Molecule: non-coding RNA, 156 nt
Organism: Chiloscyllium plagiosum (whitespotted bambooshark)
Lineage: Eukaryota; Metazoa; Chordata; Chondrichthyes; Orectolobiformes; Hemiscylliidae
Source: RefSeq, a predicted model, not a curated record
AAACACGUUUCCAUUUCAGAUUCUAAAGAAAGCGGUGAAAGGAAAAUCAAAGUGAUCGCUUCAGGACGAGAUGAUGACUCAGCGGAGAAUGAGAGUGCACCUGAUACUAAAGAUUCUGCACAAAGAACAAGUCACUCAGAGGCUCGAGGUAUUGAU